Molecule: ribosomal RNA, 253 nt
Filed under: uncultured bacterium
Lineage: Bacteria
Description: partial 16S ribosomal RNA
Rfam family: Bacterial small subunit ribosomal RNA
Source: RNAcentral
UACGUAGGGGGCUAGCGUUGUCCGGAAUCAUUGGGCGUAAAGCGCGUGUAGGCGGUUCGGUAAGUCCGCUGUGAAAGUCGGGGGCUCAACCCUCGAAUGCCGGUGGAUACUGUCGGACUAGAGUACGGAAGAGGCGAGUGGAAUUCCUGGUGUAGCGGUGAAAUGCGCAGAUAUCAGGAGGAACACCAGCGGCGAAGGCGGCGCUCUGGGCCGGUACUGACGCUGAGGAGCGAAAGCGUGGGUAGCAAACAGG